Strongylocentrotus purpuratus (purple sea urchin) is the source of this 316-nucleotide long non-coding RNA. RefSeq lists it as uncharacterized. NCBI's taxonomy places the organism in Eukaryota, Metazoa, Echinodermata, Echinoidea, Camarodonta, Strongylocentrotidae. The transcript has 3 exons. The record is from RefSeq and is a predicted model, not a curated record.
UGUGCUUCCACUCCGUGUAUGGCUAAUGAAGAUUGUAUUGAUGCAGUGAACAUGUAUACUUGUGCGUGCUCUGCUGGUUAUGCUGGGACUCCGUGUGCAGAUAUCGACGAAUGUGCUUCCACUCCGUGUAUGGCUAAUGAAGAUUGUAUUGAUGCAGUGAACAUGUAUACUUGUACGUGCUCUGCUGGUUAUGCUGGGACUCCGUGUGCAGAUAUCGACGAAUGUGCUUCCACUCCGUGUAUGGCUAAUGAAGAUUGUAUUGAUGCAGUGAACAUGUAUACUUGUGCGUGCUCUGCUGGUUAUACUGGGACUCCGU